CCCACCUGAAUCCAUGCCGAACUCAGAAGUGAAACGCAGCAGCGCCGAUGGUAGUGUGGGGUCUCCCCAUGUGAGAGUAGGACAUCGCUAAAC
RNAcentral lists this ribosomal RNA (93 nucleotides) under Photobacterium damselae subsp. damselae. Lineage: Bacteria; Pseudomonadati; Pseudomonadota; Gammaproteobacteria; Vibrionales; Vibrionaceae. The record is from RNAcentral.